This 194-nucleotide ribosomal RNA is filed under the name Lactobacillus sp. CS24.2. RNAcentral's name for it is "partial 16S ribosomal RNA". It matches the Rfam family "Bacterial small subunit ribosomal RNA", at positions 1336 to 1533 of the family's 1533-position model. Lineage: Bacteria; Bacillati; Bacillota; Bacilli; Lactobacillales; Lactobacillaceae. The record is from RNAcentral.
UUAGCGGAUCAGCAUGCCGCGGUGAAUACGUUCCCGGGCCUUGUACACACCGCCCGUCACACCAUGAGAGUUUGUAACACCCAAAGUCGGUGGGGUAACCUUUUAGGAACCAGCCGCCUAAGGUGGGACAGAUGAUUAGGGUGAAGUCGUAACAAGGUAGCCGUAGGAGAACCUGCGGCUGGAUCACCUCCUUU